GACGAACGCUGGCGGCGUGCUUAACACAUGCAAGUCGAACGAAAAGAGGGAAAGAGCUUGCUCUUUCCGGAAUUGAGUGGCAAACGGGUGAGUAACACGUAAACAACCUGCCUUCAGGAUGGGGACAACAGACGGAAACGACUGCUAAUACCGAAUAAGUUCCAAGGGCCGCAUGGCCCAUGGAAGAAAAGGUGGCCUCUACCUGUAAGCUAUCGCCUGAAGAGGGGUUUGCGUCUGAUUAGCUGGUUGGAGGGGUAACGGCCCACCAAGGCGACGAUCAGUAGCCGGUCGGAGAGGAGGAACGGCCACACUGGAAUUGAGACACGGUCCAGACUCCUACGGGAGGCAGCAGUGGGGAAUCUUCCGCAAUGGGCGAAAGCCUGACGGAGCAACGCCGCGUGAGUGAUGACGGCCUUCGGGUUGUAAAACUCUGUGAUCCGGGACGAAAAGGCAGAGUGCGAAGAACAAACUGCAUUGACGGUACCGGAAAAGCAAGCCACGGCUAACUACGUG
RNAcentral lists this ribosomal RNA (513 nucleotides) under uncultured bacterium. RNAcentral describes it as "partial 16S ribosomal RNA". It matches the Rfam family "Bacterial small subunit ribosomal RNA", at positions 28 to 507 of the family's 1533-position model. The record is from RNAcentral.